CUCGAUUUUAAGUAUAUUUAAAUGUCACUCGAGCAAAACAACUAAUAAAUUUAUCACUUCUCAAUAAUAUCUAUCCAGUGAUAUCACACCGACAUGAGUUCAAAAGAUAAAGUAAACGACGAAUUAUUGUAUACGGCUCGGUCACUCGUUAUGGUCCGCGAACCAGUUGCCAACGCAAGAGGUUAAAAGAGGGAAAGAGGUUGGAGAGGGUCGGAAGG
This is a long non-coding RNA of Frieseomelitta varia, 218 nucleotides long. RefSeq lists it as uncharacterized. NCBI's taxonomy places the organism in Eukaryota, Metazoa, Arthropoda, Insecta, Hymenoptera, Apidae. The record is from RefSeq and is a predicted model, not a curated record. The transcript is spliced from 5 exons.